CUCCUCCUCUCUUCCUGCUGGUGGAGGUGCCAGAUAUAUUGAUAUCCACUCCGCCUCACCUUCUGCACACAAUCGCAGGUGGGAAGAAGCUGUCGCAAGCCACUGCGAGCCGUCUGUCCAGGCUCCACAUGAGCUCCAGCACCUCGCCACCACGACGGCCUCGCCCUAUCUGUGUUCUGAACUCUGAGCCUCGACAAGACCCUGCAGAGUGCAGAGCCAGGCAUCCUCGGCCCCAACACCCUCAGCGCCCAGCUCCG
Molecule: long non-coding RNA, 257 nt
Organism: Balaenoptera acutorostrata (minke whale)
Lineage: Eukaryota; Metazoa; Chordata; Mammalia; Artiodactyla; Balaenopteridae
Exons: 3
Source: RefSeq, a predicted model, not a curated record